RNAcentral lists this long non-coding RNA (266 nucleotides) under Zostera marina. RNAcentral's name for it is "long non-coding RNA (ZMAR_LNC000604)". The record is from RNAcentral. Lineage: Eukaryota; Viridiplantae; Streptophyta; Magnoliopsida; Alismatales; Zosteraceae.
ACAAUUGUUCCCCCCUUUACACUUCACCCCUAGGGGCAUUUAUACAAUCUCCUACCGGACUCUGGACCCUACGUUUUCGGACUAGGAUCCGGUCUAAAGGACCCGACACACUUGGGGCGCAACCCUUGGAGAGAUAACCGUCUGGGCCGAUGGAUCCGCCCGGUCGGGCGAGUACCCGUGAGGCGGCUUGGAUCUUCCUCUUUUGUUCACUUCGCUGGGCCUUGCUUCUGGACUCCUGCGUAGGCCUGGGAUGAUGGAUUGGGGGU